ACUGCAGGUUCGAGCCUUGUCAG
This 23-nucleotide non-coding RNA is filed under the name Arabidopsis thaliana (thale cress). Lineage: Eukaryota; Viridiplantae; Streptophyta; Magnoliopsida; Brassicales; Brassicaceae. The record is from RNAcentral.